This 716-nucleotide long non-coding RNA is filed under the name Lathyrus oleraceus (garden pea). RNAcentral describes it as "Pisum sativum (pea) long non-coding RNA (PSAT_LNC016451)". Lineage: Eukaryota; Viridiplantae; Streptophyta; Magnoliopsida; Fabales; Fabaceae. The record is from RNAcentral.
AUUGUGCGAUUUUGAGAGAGAGAGGUUUGGUUGCGUUUGAGAGACUUUGAGAGUAAAGGUUGAGGGAUAGCGUUUGAGAGAGAGAGAGAAAUUUUGAGAUUUUGAGAGAGCGAUGAGGAAGGAGAGUCGUAGCGAGUGAGGGCGAGUUUGGUUGAGGACGACGGGAGAGUUUUUCUUCCUUACUGUGUUUUCUUUUUUUUCUGUUUUCUUGUUUUUUUUUUAAUUAAUUUCUUUUUUUAUUUUUAACUUAACCUUUUUUUUUACAGAGAUAAUAUAAAAAACCAUGAAAUUAUUUAUUUUUGUUUUUUAUUUUAAAUUUUUAUUCCAGUUCAUACAUUUAGGGUAGUAUCUCAACAGCAGAUAGUGUUGAGUGGCCUAGUGGAGAGAGUUUAGUUGCAUAAUAUUAGGUGGGGAAGGUUCAAUACUCAUGUGUGGUACUUUUUGCUUUUUAUUUGAUUUUAUCUUCCUUUAGCAUUUUUUAUUCUUUUAGUAUGUUGAUUAAUAUCUUUUUUAUGUUUAUUAUACUCAUGAUUUCAUUUGUUAAUAAUGCAUAGUUGUUGUAUUUUAGUUUAGUUCAAAACCAUUUUUUAAACUAUAAAAAUCAUACUUUUCUCGAUUUAAUAUCGAGCCCAUUUUUACACCCUUGUAAGUCGAUUGCUUUUUAAGCAUCGCCAUCAACCUCACAUAGCUUACUCUUGGGCUUUCUUACAAUGAGC